Magnolia sinica is the source of this 1144-nucleotide long non-coding RNA. RefSeq lists it as uncharacterized. The record is from RefSeq and is a predicted model, not a curated record. The transcript is spliced from 5 exons. NCBI's taxonomy places the organism in Eukaryota, Viridiplantae, Streptophyta, Magnoliopsida, Magnoliales, Magnoliaceae.
CCUAUUCCCUCUCAGGUCCGUCCCUUUCUCUCUCUCUCGAUCUCCCCCGCCCCUUCUCUCUCUCUCUCUCUCUCUCUCUUGCACUCCUUUUCUCUCUCUCGAUCUCCCCUCUCACGAACUCCUCUUCUCUUCCUAACCAUCCCCUCCCACUCGAUCUCACGAACACCUCUUCAUCAAUGGAUGAUUUCGAGUUGUUGCACUCCCGGUCGUGAAGGAUGUAAAACCUCUCUUUGCUGAAAGAUUUGGAACCCCUCUGUCACUCCCACUCACAAAAAAUCAAACACCCCUUUCCGCUGAUAGAUCUGAAAGCAAAGCUCUCUCUGUUACUUGUCGUAAAAGUCAUAGGCAGAGCACCAAACAAGCUCUUUAAGGAAAGAGGGGGAUUUCCCUUGGAAAAUGCAUGGUGUACCCUAUUGUGAAGCUUAAUAUGGUGUUGUGGGCUGCAGCAUGGUUCGAUCCUGAGCCAAUUGAUCGUUUCUUCACUAACAUCAAUCUAGUGUCUAGGGAUAAGAACAUGUGGAGGAAGGGAUGCCAACUGCUUGAUGAAAUUCCCAAAGCCCAUGUUGCACAGGCAUGCACCUCUUAUGUACUUAUCACAACUUCUUUCCAGUAAUAUUUCAAAUAUAUAUUACAAUAGUUAUCAUAGGUUUUGAUUUUGUUGUUGCAUUGAUUUGAAUUGCAAGUGGGUUUUGUUGGGCAGGUGCAUGCUUUAUAUGCACAAAACUAGCAAGCUUAAAACAUGCAUAUAUGGUUAUACAGCCACCACCUUCAGGAAUGGUGUUGGGGCUAGUAUAUGCUAAGACGCAGAGCCCUCUCACCCCAAUAACCAUGCAUGAAUGUUGGAACUUGGGUGUUGUCCUCAAGCUUACGUUUCUUCAAGCGGUUCAUCAAAAUGGCAUCUAAGGAAAUGAAAAAUAGCCUGCAUUCAAAAUACAUGCAUGGCCCAUCUGAUUAGAAGUUGAGACUAUGUCCUUCUUUCUCGGCCUAGGCAGCUACAAAGUUUCUCGUCUAUUUGCUGAGUGGUGUCGGAUUUGUGAACUUCCUGGCAAUACUGAUGUCACUUAUACCCAUUAUAUCUCACAGUUACAGCAAAGUGGGUUGCUUAAAGAGGAUGAUCUCAUGGAUCACUUUUUCUGAAUCCUCA